GAUGAACGCUGGCGGCGUGCUUAACACAUGCAAGUCGAACGGGAUCCAGGCAGCUUGCUGCCUGGUGAGAGUGGCGAACGGGUGAGUAAUGCGUGACCGACCUGCCCCAUACACCGGAAUAGCUCCUGGAAACGGGUGGUAAUGCCGGAUGCUCCGACUCCUCGCAUGGGGUGUCGGGAAAGAUUAUAUCGGUAUGGGAUGGGGUCGCGUCCUAUCAGGUAGUCGGCGGGGUAACGGCCCACCGAGCCUACGACGGGUAGCCGGCCUGAGAGGGCGACCGGCCACAUUGGGACUGAGAUACGGCCCAGACUCCUACGGGAGGCAGCAGUGGGGAAUAUUGCACAAUGGGCGCAAGCCUGAUGCAGCGACGCCGCGUGCGGGAUGACGGCCUUCGGGUUGUAAACCGCUUUUGAUCGGGAGCAAGCCUUCGGGUGAGUGUAC
This 441-nucleotide ribosomal RNA is filed under the name uncultured bacterium. RNAcentral describes it as "bacterial SSU rRNA". It matches the Rfam family "Bacterial small subunit ribosomal RNA", at positions 28 to 478 of the family's 1533-position model. The record is from RNAcentral.